AGAGUUUGAUCAUGGCUCAGGACGAACGCUGGCGGCGUGCCUAACACAUGCAAGUCGAGCGGGGUCAAAGUUCAACACUGAGUAUUUGGGCAAAACGUUGGUUUAUAGAGCCAUCGUUAUGCAGAAACCACAUUAUAGAAUAGAUUGAAGUUUCUGCAUCAUGCUAUUUAGUGACUAACACAAGUCCAAGUAUUGAGUGUUGAACUUUGACCUAGCGGCGGACGGGUGAGUAACGCGUGAGCAACCUGCCUUGCACAGGGGGAUAACAUUCGGAAACGGAUGCUAAUACCGCAUAAGACCCCACUAUCGCAUGAUAGAGAGGUCAAAGGGAUUACCGGUGCAAGAUGGGCUCGCGUCCCAUUAGCUAGUUGGUAGGGUAGAGGCCUACCAAGGCGACGAUGGGUAGCCGACCUGAGAGGGUGAUCGGCCACACUGGGACUGAGACACGGCCCAGACUCCUACGGGAGGCAGCAGUGGGGAAUAUUGCGCAAUGGGGGGAACCCUGACGCAGCAACGCCGCGUGAGUGAAGAAGGUUUUCGGAUCGUAAAGCUCUGUCAUCGGGGACGAAGAAUGACGGUACCCGAAGAGGAAGCCCCGGCUAACUACGUGCCAGCAGCCGCGGUAAUACGUAGGGGGCGAGCGUUGUCCGGAAUUACUGGGCGUAAAGGGUGCGUAGGCGGCCUGAUAAGUCAGAUGUGAAAUACCAGGGCUUAACCCUGGGGGUGCAUUUGAAACUGUCGGGCUUGAGUGCAGGAGAGGAAAGCGGAAUUCCUAGUGUAGCGGUGAAAUGCGUAGAUAUUAGGAGGAACACCAGUGGCGAAGGCGGCUUUCUGGACUGUAACUGACGCUGAGGCACGAAAGCGUGGGUAGCGAACAGGAUUAGAUACCCUGGUAGUCCACGCCGUAAACGAUGGAUACUAGGUGUAGGGGGUUACUAGCCUUCUGUGCCGUAGUUAACGCAAUAAGUAUCCCGCCUGGGGAGUACGUGCGCAAGCACGAAACUCAAAUGAAUUGACGG
Molecule: ribosomal RNA, 1019 nt
Filed under: uncultured bacterium
Lineage: Bacteria
Description: bacterial SSU rRNA
Rfam family: Bacterial small subunit ribosomal RNA
Source: RNAcentral